GGAAAUGUGGCUUAGUGGUAGAGUGCUUGCCUAGCAGGCAUGAAACCCUGGGUUCGAUUCCUCAGUACCA
This is a non-coding RNA of Dipodomys ordii (Ord's kangaroo rat), 70 nucleotides long. The record is from Rfam. NCBI's taxonomy places the organism in Eukaryota, Metazoa, Chordata, Mammalia, Rodentia, Heteromyidae.